AAUAAAUGUAUAUUUCUUUAUCUGUUUAACAGUGAAAGGAGACAGAGAUGCGGUACAGGACAGUGAGGUUGUCCUAACCAAAAUGAAGCUCUUCAGCAACUUCCAGGAGAGGCUCCUGAUGGCCGACGACUCCGCUUCCACCUUCUCCACAGUGUCGGUUUCAGAGCAGAACAUCUCGGACCCCACCAAAGCCUCUGAAGUGAAUUACAAUCUUGAUGACAAGUUGGGGCCAGACUACGUGGCCACCAUUUUCUCAGACUCUAAACUGCCGAGGUUGUACAAGUUUGAGUCGGAGGACUCUGGAGUAGAGCUGCCCAGUGGAGCUAACUCUCCGUCUACCCCGACAGGCUCUGAGCAGAGCUUCAUUGUCCACAGUCGUGAGUCCUCCUGCAACUCCUGCAACCUAAACUCUGACCCUACAACUCUCCCUGAUGAACUAGUUACAUAUGCACAGAGCUCUGAGAAUAAACAGGCAGAGGACUCAGUGGAUAAUAGUGUGAGCACAGCAGGGGAUACUCAGGAUAAUGUGUUCAUACACUCAGAGGAACUCAGUUCAGCUGUGAGAGCGGAACUUCACAUAGGUGAGGACGUGUCUGAACAGCUCGAGGCCAACAGUGCUGUAAGUGAAAGGACUUGCUUAGAGGACAUGAGGCAUAGGAAGCAAUCCUCAACAGGAGCCUGUGAUGACAUGACGAGCAAUGACUUUGAGCCAGAGCCUAUAAGGAGGAGUGCCACCAUUGACAGCCUGGAGGAGUACAUGGACAAAUGUUGCAGACUUAGCGAGGCACAGCAGGCAAGUUCCAACCCUCUGGGUUCAGGCCUGGGUUACCUGGAGCACAUCUGCCAACUCAUUGAGAAGAUGGGCCAGCUGCAGGAGACCAACCUCCGGCUUCAGAGGUACAUCUGCAGCCUGCAGAAGGACGGCAGGAUGUCUAAGACCAAAGAGGACUUUUUCCAGCAGCACUGCAGCUGUGGUGCAGCUGACCUGGCCACCCAGGACGUUCAGAAGAUACACUCCAGAAAUGAGUUUUUGUCUCCCAGUGGAACCCUGUCUGACCUGUCCACCAUCCAUGAGGUCACCCGGCAUCCGUUCAUAUCAACCAGUAGAGACAUGAGCAGUGAGGGUUUGACACCCGUCCCACUGUGGAGGAGAGGCUUGAACCGUAGCAGUUACACUGAGGGGGAGGUACGCUUCCUCGUGGACAGCACCGAAGCACUCUCCAUUCCCCAGCGCAGGCUAAGUGAAAACUAUACAUGGGGCCGAGUCAAAGACCUGGUGAGGAAAACUAAGUUGAGGAACCAAAGCAGGCUGGGACUGACUCCCACCCCACUGAAGAUGUCCUGCCCACAACUCUACAUGCCUGAUCUGGAACCAGAAGAACCUGCUGGCAGAAACAGGAACUCCAUGAUUGCCUUGGGUCACCAGAGCAAAUUGGAAUUCCCUUGGCUACAAUAAACACCCAGACCAGGUCCUGUUAGUCUCACAUGGAGAAGAGGAGGACGCCAUGUAGGUACAUAGAGAUGAUUCAAGACUGGAAAAUAAACCAUGAAGAAGGAAAAGAAGGGAAUGAAGAAGAAGGAAAAAACUGACGUAUUAAAGGAAAGGACUUCUGCAUCAGAGAUGUUUUUGCUGCAUGUAAGGGUGAAAAGUGUUUACGUGAAACUCAAACUGUAUAUGCGGUGUACAUGUUCGCACAAAAUUAAGAUGAGGCUUAUGUGUAAUAUGAUCUACACUGACAUAAUUUAACUGCAUUAUACAUUCUCUGUUGAUAAUAUUGACAUUUAUAUAGUUUCCAUUAGAAUGCGUCAAAAUCUGUAACAAUCCAACUAAUAUGAAACAUACACAUAUUUCAUAACUUUUUAUUGUAUAUGAUAUUGUAAAUGUUAUAAACAAUUGAGAGUCUGCUUUGUAUAGUGUGUGUGUAAUGUUGCUUAAGAGAACAACAUUACCGAAACCAAUAAAUCAAGAAUAAUGCAGACUUGAUGCCAUGAUUGGCCAGGUGUGUUUUCCCCAAGGAAAGGACUGCAGAACCCCACAAAAGACAGGCAGUUGUUGAGUGGGGAAGCCCCUCCUUUGAGUCAAAAGUGUUCCUACCAUCCAGAAAAGCUAGAAACACUUUUACACGUCAUACAAACAAAGGAAAGUAAAAUGGAGCCUCAAAGGUCUACUUUCUGUCCCUGAUUGAUGCAUGUCAGUAGUGAUAGUCGGUCAGAAGCAGCCACUACAGAACAGAAAGCACCAGGUUGCCAACCCAUGCUAUUCCUUUCAACCAGACUUUGUCAAUAAUCCUCUUUUAUGAGACAAU
RNAcentral lists this long non-coding RNA (2306 nucleotides) under Cottoperca gobio. Its description in RNAcentral is "lncRNA (ENSCGOG00000014579.1)". Lineage: Eukaryota; Metazoa; Chordata; Actinopteri; Perciformes; Bovichtidae. The record is from RNAcentral.